AUCAACUUUCGAUGGUAGGAUAGAGGCAUACCAUGGUGUUAACGGGUAACGGGGUGUUAGGGCACGACACCGGAGAGGGAGCCUGAGAAACGGCUACCACAUCCAAGGAUGGCAGCAGGCGCGCAAAUUACCCAAUCCCGACACGGGGAGGUAGUGACAAUAAAUAACAAUACGGGGUUCUUUCGGAUCACGUAAUUGGAAUGAGUACAAUUUAAAUCUCUUAACGAGGAACAAUUGGAGGGCAAGUCUGGUGCCAGCAGCCGCGGUAAUUCCAGCUCCAAUAGCGUAUAUUAAAGUUGUUGCAGUUAAAAAGCUCGUAGUUGAAUUUCGGGGUCAGUAGGUUGGUCGUGCCACAGGUAUGAACUGGUCUCACUGAUUCCUCCUUCCUGAUGAACCGUAAUGCCAUUAAUUUGGUGUUGCGGGGAGACUGGACUGUUACUUUGAAAAAAUUAGAGUGUUUAAAGCAGGCUAACGCUUGAAUACAUUAGCAUGGAAUAAUGAAAUAGGACGUUCGGUCUUAUUUUGUUGGUUUCUAAGAUUGACGUAAUGAUUAAUAGGGAUAGUUGGGGGCAUUAGUAUUCAAUUGUCAGAGGUGAAAUUCUUGGAUUUAUUGAAGACUAACUACUGCGAAAGCAUUUGCCAAGGAUGUUUUCAUUAAUCAAGAACGAAAGUUAGGGGAUCGAAGACGAUCAGAUACCGUCGUAGUCUUAACCAUAAACUAUGCCGACUAGGGAUCGGAUGAUGUUAAUUUUUUAAUGACUCAUUCGGCGCCUUACGGGAAACCAAAGUGUUUGGGUUC
Molecule: ribosomal RNA, 799 nt
Filed under: uncultured Glomus
Lineage: Eukaryota; Fungi; Glomeromycota; Glomeromycetes; Glomerales; Glomeraceae
Description: SSU rRNA
Rfam family: Eukaryotic small subunit ribosomal RNA
Source: RNAcentral